CAUAAUGAUCUCAUACUGUUAAGUAUUUCAGCACUGAUGGCAAGGAGGGGCAGGGUUGCAAUUCCGCCUUAACCCACUAUCCACAGUCUCACACCCUGAUUCUUCUUCUAAAUAUGAAAUAGUUGUGUUAUCAUAAUAAUACUGCAGAUGUGAGGCGGCAGACAGAAAUUAUACAGGGCCUUUGCUAGACUAGCACUGUUUGGGUUUGUGACCAUCAUCUUAAUG
This is a non-coding RNA of Pelobates cultripes (western spadefoot toad), 225 nucleotides long. NCBI's taxonomy places the organism in Eukaryota, Metazoa, Chordata, Amphibia, Anura, Pelobatidae. The record is from the annotation of a GenBank genome assembly.